This 229-nucleotide ribosomal RNA is filed under the name uncultured bacterium. RNAcentral's name for it is "partial 16S ribosomal RNA". It matches the Rfam family "Bacterial small subunit ribosomal RNA", at positions 568 to 796 of the family's 1533-position model. The record is from RNAcentral.
UGCGCAGGCGGAACUUUAAGUCAGUGGUGAAAUCUUGCCGCUUAACGGUAAAAUUGCCAUUGAUACUGAAGUUCUUGAAUAUGGUUGAGGUAGGCGGAAUGUGUUGUGUAGCGGUGAAAUGCAUAGAUAUGACACAGAACGCCGAUUGCGAAGGCAGCUUACUGAGCCAUUAUUGACGCUGAGGCACGAAAGCGUGGGGAGCGAACAGGAUUAGAUACCCUGGUAGUCC